CGAGCGUCAUUUAAACCUUCAAGCAUUGCUUGGUGUUGGGUGCUGUUCGCCUUUGCGAACUCACCUCGAAUACAUUGGCAGCCAGCUAUUGGGUGUUGGAGCGCAGCACAUUUUUGCGUUCUAGGCCCGAGUAGCCGGCGUCCAAAAAGCUUAUUUUAACGUUUGACCUCGGAUCAGGUAGGGAUACCCGCUGAACUUAA
RNAcentral lists this unclassified non-coding RNA (200 nucleotides) under soil metagenome. RNAcentral describes it as "partial contains internal transcribed spacer 2 and large subunit ribosomal RNA". The record is from RNAcentral.